UGAGAACUUUGAAGGCCGA
This 19-nucleotide non-coding RNA is filed under the name Arabidopsis thaliana (thale cress). RNAcentral also lists the same sequence under 1 other name. Lineage: Eukaryota; Viridiplantae; Streptophyta; Magnoliopsida; Brassicales; Brassicaceae. The record is from RNAcentral.